RNAcentral lists this ribosomal RNA (980 nucleotides) under Brachydistomum sp. PakPr2. Its description in RNAcentral is "16S ribosomal RNA". The stretch from base 651 to 937 matches the Rfam family "Archaeal large subunit ribosomal RNA", at positions 2151 to 2715 of the family's 2987-position model. The record is from RNAcentral. Lineage: Eukaryota; Metazoa; Platyhelminthes; Trematoda; Plagiorchiida; Dicrocoeliidae.
GUCUUGAGGCUGGUCCUAUUUGUUUAUUGUUUGGUGUGGUACCUUUUGCAUCAUGAUUCUCGGGUAGUUUCUAUAGAGUUUAGGGUCCCGAAAGAUAGUGAUCUAUUUUGUCCCCGCUCGGAGCUUAGGUGUGAUUGUGUUAAUCUUUUUAGAGGGUUAAAUAGGUGUGAUACGCAACUCGUACUAUCUAAUAACUGGUUGACGCAUGGUUCUUUAGUUUUACACCGUUUGCUAGAAGGUGAUCGGUGGUGUCAGAGACUUGUUUAUUAUUAAAUGAUUUUGGGGUUAGAAGUACCCUGGUUUAAUUUUUGUGUUGUAACAAUUUUGAGUGUUGGUAGGUCUUGAAUUUAUAGUGUGUCUUUGUAACUAUUUAGUAGUGAGUUAUCGGGGAAUUAGUAGUUUAAGAAUUGCUGUACUUUUGUCUCGAUUUUCACUCGUCUGUUUAUUAAAAACAUUUCCAUCAGUUAAGUAUUGAUGGUAGGUCCUGCCCGAUGGUUAAUAUCUCAAUGGCCGCAGGAUUAAACUGUGAGAAAGUAGCAUAAUUAGUUGCCUCGUAAUUGGAGGAUGGUUUGAAUGGUCUGACGAAGUGGGAUUUGAAAUGUGCGGUGUGUGGCGAACUUAGAGUGUCUGUGCAGAUCCGGAUGGUUUUUAGUAAGACGGAAAGACCCCGAGAACUUUAUAUUUAGUAUUUGCUUGGGGCAAGAGUAUGUGUUUUACAUAUUUUUCGAUCCCCCAUUGGGGAUAAAAGGAUUAAGUUACCUCGGGGAUAACUAGGUGAUAAAUAAUGUGAGUUCUAAUCUAUUUAUUUGGUUGCCAUCUCGAUGUUGGCUUAGGGUUAGUGUAGUGGUGCAGAAGCUAUUACAUUAGGUCUGUUCGACCUUAGUUCCCUUAUGAGUUGAGUUGAGACCGGCGUGAGCCAGGUCGGAUCUUAUCUACUUUGGUUGUGGGUUAGUACGAAAGGAUUGCUCAUGAUUUAGGUU